ACUUGAGAGUUUGAUCCUGGCUCAGAGCGAACGCUGGCGGCAGGCUUAACACAUGCAAGUCGAACGGGCGUAGCAAUACGUCAGUGGCAGACGGGUGAGUAACGCGUGGGAACGUACCUUUUGGUUCGGAACAACCCAGGGAAACUUGGGCUAAUACCGGAUAAGCCCUUACGGGGAAAGAUUUAUCGCCGAAAGAUCGGCCCGCGUCUGAUUAGCUAGUUGGUGAGGUAAUGGCUCACCAAGGCGACGAUCAGYAGCUGGUCUGAGAGGAUGAUCAGCCACAUUGGGACUGAGACACGGCCNNAACUCCUACGGGAGGCAGCAGUGGGGAAUAUUGGACAAUGGGCGCAAGCCUNAUCCAGCCAUGCCGCGUGAGUGAUGAAGGCCNNAGGGUUGUAAAGCUNUUUUGUGCGGGAAGAUAAUGACGGUACCGCAAGAAUAAGCCCCGGCU
Molecule: ribosomal RNA, 451 nt
Filed under: Nitrobacter sp.
Lineage: Bacteria; Pseudomonadati; Pseudomonadota; Alphaproteobacteria; Hyphomicrobiales; Nitrobacteraceae
Description: bacterial SSU rRNA
Rfam family: Bacterial small subunit ribosomal RNA
Source: RNAcentral